RNAcentral lists this ribosomal RNA (490 nucleotides) under uncultured bacterium. RNAcentral describes it as "partial 16S ribosomal RNA". It matches the Rfam family "Bacterial small subunit ribosomal RNA", at positions 30 to 507 of the family's 1533-position model. The record is from RNAcentral.
AUUGAACGCUGGCGGCAGGCCUAACACAUGCAAGUCGAACGGUAACAGGAAGAAGCUUGCUUCUUUGCUGACGAGUGGCGGACGGGUGAGUAAUGUCUGGGAAACUGCCUGAUGGAGGGGGAUAACUACUGGAAACGGUAGCUAAUACCGCAUAACGUCGCAAGACCAAAAAGGGGGACCUUCGGGCCUCUUGCCAUCGGAUGUGCCCAGAUGGGAUUAGCUAGUAGGUGGGGUAACGGCUCACCUAGGCGACGAUCCCUAGCUGGUCUGAGAGGAUGACCAGCCACACUGGAACUGAGACACGGUCCAGACUCCUACGGGAGGCAGCAGUGGGGAAUAUUGCACAAUGGGCGCAAGCCUGAUGCAGCCAUGCCGCGUGUAUGAAGAAGGCCUUCGGGUUGGAAAGUACUUUCAGCGGGGAGGAAGGGAGUAAAGUUAAUACCUUUGCUCAUUGACGUUACCCGCAGAAGAAGCACCGGCUAACUCCGUG